Molecule: ribosomal RNA, 787 nt
Filed under: uncultured bacterium
Lineage: Bacteria
Description: bacterial SSU rRNA
Rfam family: Bacterial small subunit ribosomal RNA
Source: RNAcentral
AGAGUUUGAUCAUGGCUCAGGAUGAACGCUAGCUGGAGGCUUAAUACAUGCAAGUCGAGCGGGAUUGGUAGCAAUACCAUGAGAGCGGCGCACGGGUGAGUAACGCGUACACGACCUACCUUUGACUGGGGGAUAGCCCUGGGAAACUGGGAUUAAUACCGCAUAUAAUUCUCGAUAAUAAAGGUUGGGAAUGAAAGUUCAGGCGGUCAGAGAUGGGUGUGCGUCUGAUUAGCCAGUUGGUGAGGUAACGGCUCACCAAGGCGAUGAUCAGUAGGGGGCGUGAGAGCGUGGACCCCCACACGGGUACUGAGACACGGACCCGACUCCUACGGGAGGCAGCAGUAAGGAAUAUUGGACAAUGGCCGCAAGGCUGAUCCAGCCAUCCAGCGUGCAGGAAGAAGGCCCUACGGGUUGUAAACUGCUUUUGUCAGGGAAUAAACCUGUGGAUUUACUCCGCAGCUGAAGGUACCUGAAGAAUAAGCACCGGCUAACUCCGUGCCAGCAGCCGCGGUAAUACGGAGGGUGCGAGCGUUAUCCGGAAUUACUGGGUUUAAAGGGUGCGUAGGCGGCUAUGUAAGUCAGGAGUGAAAGUUUGCGGCUCAACCGUAAAAUUGCUUUUGAUACUGCAUGGCUGGAAUCAGGAUGAGGUCAGCGGAAUGUGGCAUGUAGCGGUGAAAUGCAUAGAUAUGCCAUAGAACACCAAUUGCGAAGGCAGCUGGCUAGACCUGUAUUGACGCUGAGGCACGAAAGCGUGGGGAGCGAACAGGAUUAGAUACCCUAGUAGUCC